CCUACGGGGGGCAGCAGUGGGGAAUAUUGGACAAUGGGCGAAAGCCUGAUCCAGCCAUGCCGCGUGUGUGAAGAAGGCCUUUUGGUUGUAAAGCACUUUAAGCGGGGAGGAGGGCACCACGGUUAAUACCCGUGAAUGUCGGACGUUACCCGCAGAAUAAGCACCGGCUAACUCUGUGCCAGCAGCCGCGGUAAUACAGAGGGUGCGAGCGUUAAUCGGAAUUACUGGGCGUAAAGCGCGCGUAGGCGGCUUGUUAAGUCAAAUGUGAAAUCCCCGAGCUUAACUUGGGCAUUGCAUUCGAUACUGGCAAGCUAGAGUAUGGGAGAGGAAGGUAGAAUUCCAGGUGUAGCGGUGAAAUGCGUAGAGAUCUGGAGGAAUACCGAUGGCGAAGGCAGCCUUCUGGCCUAAUACUGACGCUGAGGUGCGAAAGCAUGGGGAGCAAACAGGAUUAGAUACCCUAGUAGUC
This 466-nucleotide ribosomal RNA is filed under the name uncultured bacterium. RNAcentral describes it as "bacterial SSU rRNA". It matches the Rfam family "Bacterial small subunit ribosomal RNA", at positions 338 to 795 of the family's 1533-position model. The record is from RNAcentral.